CCUAGCAGAGCGUUUUGUCCACAUCAGCAAAAAGCGCUUCCUUGAGGGCGCGCUUUGUACUGAUGUGGACAAAAUGCUCCCCCAGGG
Gossypium hirsutum (cotton) is the source of this 87-nucleotide non-coding RNA. Lineage: Eukaryota; Viridiplantae; Streptophyta; Magnoliopsida; Malvales; Malvaceae. The record is from Rfam.